Thunnus maccoyii (southern bluefin tuna) is the source of this 291-nucleotide long non-coding RNA. RefSeq lists it as uncharacterized. The transcript has 2 exons. The record is from RefSeq and is a predicted model, not a curated record. NCBI's taxonomy places the organism in Eukaryota, Metazoa, Chordata, Actinopteri, Scombriformes, Scombridae.
UCCACUCCUGUCUACAAUCAACUCAUCAAGCCACAGCUCAAAUACUCCGGCUCUCCUUCCACUCAUCUCCAGAUUGUUCAGUCACCUUUGUGGUCUCCAGUGUCAACCCGUCCAACCGGUCAUCUGUUGUUCUUCAGCUGCAAGCCCAUUCUCCAGCCACGCCAAGCGCACCCAGCCACCUGCCUCUUUCUGCUACACAACCCCUCUCCAGCCUGCCAGCACCAGCUCCCCUCCCUUCUACCCUCCAUAACCAAAGGUUGCUCAUUAAACCAUCCUUUUCUCAUCCAUCCA